UGAACUUAAGCAUAUCAAUAAGCGGAGGAAAAGAAACCAACUGGGAUUACCUUAGUAACGGCGAGUGAAGCGGUAAAAGCUCAAAUUUGAAAUCUGGUACUUUCAGUGCCCGAGUUGUAAUUUGUAGAAUUUGUCUUUGAUUAGGUCCUUGUCUAUGUUCCUUGGAACAGGACGUCAUAGAGGGUGAGAAUCCCGUUUGGCGAGGAUACCUUUUCUCUGUAAGACUUUUUCGAAGAGUCGAGUUGUUUGGGAAUGCAGCUCAAAGUGGGUGGUAAAUUCCAUCUAAAGCUAAAUAUUGGCGAGAGACCGAUAGCGAACAAGUACAGUGAUGGAAAGAUGAAAAGAACUUUGAAAAGAGAGUGAAAAAGUACGUGAAAUUGUUGAAAGGGAAGGGCAUUUGAUCAGACAUGGUGUUUUUUGCAUGCACUCGCCUCUCGUGGGCUUGGGCCUCUCAAAAAUUUCACUGGGCCAACAUCAAUUCUGGCAGUAGGAUAAAUCAUUAAGAAUGUAGCUACCUCGGUAGUGUUAUAGCUUAUUGGAAUACUGCUAGCUGGGAUUGAGGACUGCGCUUCGGCAAGGAUGUUGGCAUAAUGGUUAAAU
RNAcentral lists this ribosomal RNA (600 nucleotides) under Hanseniaspora opuntiae. Its description in RNAcentral is "eukaryotic LSU rRNA". It matches the Rfam family "Eukaryotic large subunit ribosomal RNA", at positions 29 to 643 of the family's 3401-position model. The record is from RNAcentral. Lineage: Eukaryota; Fungi; Ascomycota; Saccharomycetes; Saccharomycodales; Saccharomycodaceae.